RNAcentral lists this unclassified non-coding RNA (336 nucleotides) under Hevea brasiliensis (rubber tree). Lineage: Eukaryota; Viridiplantae; Streptophyta; Magnoliopsida; Malpighiales; Euphorbiaceae. The record is from RNAcentral.
GGUGGUCCUCCGUAGCCACAGCAAGCCAUUAUGGGUUGCUCAAAUCCAUAUCGAGAAUAGUUUGAGAUAAGGUUAGAUUUUAUAGUGUAGAUAUCAACAUAUGUGACAUUUGAAUCCACGUAUUGGCCCUGUAGUUUUUUGCAGAGAGCAUGAAGCUGCAGAUUAAAAAGUUUAGCUGCUUGAUUAUGCCCACUGACGCAUCCAAACUCGUCAAGCUUUGAUGGAUCAGCUCCAAAUUUCGCAACAUUCUGAGUCAAGCAUCCAAGAGGACCUGUGUUGUGUAUCCAAAAAUUCCUUGCUCCUUGAUCAUGUAAUCUCUUGAUUCCAGCUUCAAAU